RNAcentral lists this long non-coding RNA (931 nucleotides) under Brassica rapa (field mustard). RNAcentral describes it as "long non-coding RNA (BRAP_LNC008602)". The record is from RNAcentral. Lineage: Eukaryota; Viridiplantae; Streptophyta; Magnoliopsida; Brassicales; Brassicaceae.
UGUGCAAAGACAUGGCAAGAUCUUCAGAGAUUGUAUGUUAAGGCUUUGGGAGAGUAUUAAGGCUUCAGAAGUGGUCUGAUGAGUGUGCAAAGAUAGGGUUUAUGUUCAGGAGGGACUUAGACACCAUUUAGAGAAGAUUUGGGUCAGACAGUAACUCCAAAGUUACCACAGUAACUUUAGAGAGUUACCACAGUAAGAUUGGAGAAGUUUGGGCAAGUUGGUGUAAAAGUGAAUAGUGAAUCACUAGUCACUAUUCAGGUUGACUAUUCACUAUUUGGGUCACUAUUCAGGACACUAUUCAGGAUGUGAAGAGUGCAUAGUAUAUGGAUAAGGCACCAAGGUUUGAAUCUAGUCAAAGGGAAUCAAGAAGAUGCUUUGUGGAGGCAAACAACCAAUGGGAGCUUCCUUGUGUGUGAUUGGCUAGUUCUGGUCUUGGACAGGCUGUCUCUUGCUGUAAAGAGAAGGGAGCCACGACCAUGAACCUGGACAGAUGCCAAUCACAAGCAAGGAGCCAGCUUGCCUUGGUUUGAAUUAAAGUGAGCCAGCUUAGCUUAUCCAAUCAGCACACAUCACUCAGAUUACAACAAGACCAACUCAUCCUCACCAUCCAUUCCUCUUAAGUUAUUUCUAUCCAUUAGAUAUAGGUUUAUGAGUUUGCAAGAGUGUAAAACCUAUAUAAAGAGCCUCAUGGGCGUGUGUAACUCUCUUAAGAGAGUAUGGGGGUUUUCCCCAUCUCCUUCAUAAAUAUAAAUGUGUGUUCUUGAUCAGAUUCCCUUAAUCUACCCCUUUCUUAGUCUCUAAUCUCUUAAUCUCUCUAAGUCUCUUUGUUUCUGAUUCAAGUUCAUACUAGUUUCAUCAGACCUCUUAUUCAACUAGUUCAAGACCUUAUUCUUUGCCUCUAAUGGCUUCUCAUACACAUACACAGCCAGAG